This 950-nucleotide long non-coding RNA is filed under the name Triticum aestivum (bread wheat). Its description in RNAcentral is "long non-coding RNA (TAES_LNC010736)". Lineage: Eukaryota; Viridiplantae; Streptophyta; Magnoliopsida; Poales; Poaceae. The record is from RNAcentral.
AGGGCCUCUUUGAUUCGUAGGAUUUUGAAAAUGUAGGAAUAGGAAAAGUAUAGGGUUAGAGUGGCAUGCCCACUUGAAUCCUAUAGGAGUAGCAAUGGGUGUUUAAUGGCACAGGAAAAACAAAGGAAUUGUAAAAAGAGGUUGGAGUGAAUGUUAGAUUUCCUAUAAAAUGUCGUACAAAAAAUUCCAUAGGAAAAAUUUCUAUGGGAUUCCAUCCUAUAAAUCAAAGGACCAACAUACAAAAAAAUCCAAAGGAUUUCAAUCCUCCAGAAAUCUUAUAAAAUUCCUUUGAAUCAAAGGAGCCCUAUUGCAGUCAGUGCGGCCCAUUUAGCACCUGUUAAUUUUUCUCAAAAAAAAAUAAAAAGUAUGUAAUUAUAAUGACAGUAAAAGAAGUUCAAUAUUCAUGUGUUACAAAGGCUCUAUAAAAAUAAAAUAACCAACUUUAGUAAAAUGUUCACACACUUUAGAAAAUAUUCAUGUAUUAUUUUAAAACAUUCAUAUAAUUGAAUAAUAUAUAUGCGUUAUAACCAUGUUUNNNNNNNNNNACUAGAAUACUAUAUGUCGACGACUAAUGGGCCCUGCCAGUCAGCACAGAGUGUAUAUUAGCGAAAAAACAGAGUUCAACCGGCAACCGGAAGUGACAACAGCAGAGUGUGCUCGCCACCACACCAACUAUCUAGGGCCUCUUUGAUUCGUAGGAUUUUGAAAAUGUAGGAAUAGGAAAAGUAUAGGGUUAGAGUGGCAUGCCCACUUGAAUCCUAUAGGAGUAGCAAUGGGUGUUUAAUGGCACAGGAAAAACAAAGGAAUUGUAAAAAGAGGUUGGAGUGAAUGUUAGAUUUCCUAUAAAAUGUCGUACAAAAAAUUCCAUAGGAAAAAUUCCUAUGGGAUUCCAUCCUAUAAAUCAAAGGACCAACAUACAAAAAAAUCCAAAGGAUUUCAAUCCUCCAGAA